UUUCAAGCUCGUAAAACUGGCGUGAAUGUGAUGUCAAAAGAGCACAGAAUGGCUCACUCGGCUGAUGGAGGCAAAAUAUUUGCUGUGUUAGACACAGCAGCUCCAUGGCCCCGGGUGUGGGUGCAGCCCGGAGUGCUGGCUGCCUCCUGAGCUCUCCUGUGAGCGUGCUCGUCCAUAUCCACAGUGCUCAGCACACACUAUCCAUGCCUCUAUUUCCAAAACAAACACACAGACCUGCAAUCUGCCUGCUGGGUUCGAGUUUCCUGUGGCUGGAAGGAGCCUGGCGUUCCCCCGCAGACGUGGAUUUGACUGUCCUCAUUCAAUUAUAAUAGAGCGUCAGUCCUUGUUUAAGCAGAGAAGAUGGUCUGUAUUCCUAAGUUAUCCUUCAGCUUAGCCUGGGAGAAAUGGUGUUCAGAAACAUCACUGGGAGACAACUCAGAAGCAGCCCCUCCAAAGGAGUUCUCUUCUACUUUGUCAGCGUGCCUCCCUGGUCUCAAAGCAUCUCCGAGCUGCUCUGCUUAUUAGAUUAGGAUCUGAUUCCUCUUGGCCGUGCCACUCGGUUUCAGGAAACCAGUGCCGAUAAUUGCCAGCUUCAUUUUACUUUUCAUUAACUAAAAACGCCAUCCAAAGCACUCUGAAUCAACAAAUUAUCACGUCUGCCGCCUUCUUCGAAACGCGCAAGCACAGUCAGAUAGCUGCUUUGUGUGGGAACAGAACCACAGCAUCACCCGGGUUGGCAAAGACCUCUGGGACCAUCCAGCCCAGCCAUCCUCCCACCGCCAGCACCGCCACGUCCCGCACUGCCAUGUCCCCACGGCUCUUGGACACCUCCAGGCGUCCCCACCGCCUCCCUGGGCGCUUCAGUUUGAGAUAUUGAAGUUGACGGAUUCUCUUUUUGUUAUUGGUAAUGCAUUUAUCCGUCGCUUUUGCUUGAUUUCCUAUUGUAAAUAUCACAUUUGCACGCACAAAUAUUCAUUCCUUCUGAGUCUGGUUUGCUGUUUGUGCUCGGGGUCCCCAUUUGCAUCUCCCGGAGCUGGGAGGUGCCCCCCCAGUAUGAGCAAACCUCAGCACCCGCAGCCCACUGCAGCCUGAUGGCCACGUCCCCAUCCACGGCCGGACCUCACUGUCCUGCGUGGAGCUUCAGGGUGGGAACACCUUCUGCAGGAGAGGGGAU
Long non-coding RNA from Gallus gallus (chicken), 1174 nucleotides. NCBI's taxonomy places the organism in Eukaryota, Metazoa, Chordata, Aves, Galliformes, Phasianidae. The record is from Ensembl.